This is a small nuclear RNA of Leptopilina heterotoma, 206 nucleotides long. RefSeq annotates it as U1 spliceosomal RNA. The transcript has a single exon. The record is from RefSeq and is a predicted model, not a curated record. NCBI's taxonomy places the organism in Eukaryota, Metazoa, Arthropoda, Insecta, Hymenoptera, Figitidae.
UAACUUACUUGGCGCGGAGGAUAUCCAUGAUCAACAAGGUGGUUCCUCCUGGGCAAGGCUUGUUCAUUGCACGGUUUUUUUUAAUUUCUUCUUUUGGAGAAAAAUAGAAAGGCCGAACAAGCUGAACCUUUUGAGUACUUCAAUUGUGAGUAUAUCGAGCGCAAAAUUUUUGACUAAUGCGGGAUCUGCGUUCGCGCUGUCCCGUA